This 748-nucleotide ribosomal RNA is filed under the name uncultured bacterium. RNAcentral describes it as "bacterial LSU rRNA". It matches the Rfam family "Bacterial large subunit ribosomal RNA", at positions 116 to 915 of the family's 2925-position model. The record is from RNAcentral.
CAAUCGGGCACUGAGAGAGGUGGAUAAGGUAUCACCGAAGUGAAUAUAUAGCUUUGGUGAAGCGAACCCGGGGAACUGAAACAUCUCAGUACCUGGAGGAAAAGACAUCAACCGAGAUUCCCGUAGUAGUGGCGAGCGAACCGGGACCAGGCCAGUGCUUCUUUGUUAGUUAGCAGAACACUUUGGAAAAUUUGGCCAUAGCGGGUGAUAGCCCCGUAUGUGAAAGCGAACAAAGAAGACUCGAGUAGGGCGGGACACGUGAAAUCCUGUCUGAACAUGGGGGGACCACCCUCCAAGCCUAAAUACUCGUACAUGACCGAUAGCGAACAAGUACCGUGAGGGAAAGGUGAAAAGCACCCCGAUUAGGGGAGUGAAACAGUACCUGAAACCGAAUGCUUACAAUCAGUUGGAGCCUCUUUAGGGGGUGACAGCGUACCUCUUGCAUAAUGGGUCAGUGACUUAAUCCAACAUGCGAGCUUAAGCCGUUAGGUGUAGGCGUAGCGAAAGCGAGUCUGAAUAGGGCGCUCAUAAGUAUGUUGGAUUAGACCCGAACCCCGGCGAUCUAGGCAUGGCCAGGUUGAAGGUGCAGUAACAUGCACUGGAGGACCGAACCGUUGAAUGUUGAAAAAUUCUCGGAUGAGCUGUGUUUAGGGGUGAAAGGCCAAUCAAGCCGGGAAAUAGCUGGUUCUCCGCGAAAUCUAUUGAGGUAGAGCGUCGGAUGUAUGCCGAUGGGGGUAGAGCACUGGAU